RNAcentral lists this transfer RNA (77 nucleotides) under Allorhizobium borbori. Its description in RNAcentral is "tRNA-Arg". It matches the Rfam family "tRNA". Rfam says of the family: Transfer RNA (tRNA) molecules are approximately 80 nucleotides in length. Their secondary structure includes four short double-helical elements and three loops (D, anti-codon, and T loops). The record is from RNAcentral. Lineage: Bacteria; Pseudomonadati; Pseudomonadota; Alphaproteobacteria; Hyphomicrobiales; Rhizobiaceae. RNAcentral also lists the same sequence under 1 other name.
GGCCCCUUAGCUCAGCUGGAUAGAGCACCUGCCUUCUAAGCAGGUUGUCGAAGGUUCGAGUCCUUCAGGGGUCGCCA